AUACGUAGGGGGCGAGCGUUGUCCGGAAUGAUUGGGCGCAAAGGGCGCGUAGGCGGCCUGUUAAGUCUGGAGUGAAAGUCCUGUUUUCAAGAUGGGAAUUGCUUUGGAUACUGAUGGGCUUGAGUGCAGGAGAGGUUAUCGGAAUUCCCGGUGUAGCGGUGAAAUGCGUAGAGAUCGGGAGGAACACCAGUGGCGAAGGCGGGUAACUGGACUGCAACUGACGCUGAGGCGCGAAAGUGUGGGGAGCAAACAGGAUUAGAUACCCUGGUAGUCCACACUGUAAACGCUGAAUGCUAGGUGUAAGAGGUAUCGACCCCUUUUGUGCCGGAGUUAACACAAUAAGCAUUCCGCCUGGGGAGUACGGCCGCAAGGUUGAAACUCAAAUGAAUUGACGGGG
Molecule: ribosomal RNA, 397 nt
Filed under: uncultured bacterium
Lineage: Bacteria
Description: partial 16S ribosomal RNA
Rfam family: Bacterial small subunit ribosomal RNA
Source: RNAcentral